This 1382-nucleotide ribosomal RNA is filed under the name Goniomonas avonlea. RNAcentral describes it as "eukaryotic LSU rRNA". It matches the Rfam family "Eukaryotic large subunit ribosomal RNA", at positions 1549 to 2620 of the family's 3401-position model. The record is from RNAcentral. Lineage: Eukaryota; Cryptophyceae; Goniomonadida; Goniomonadaceae.
GCGGCUCGCUAAAGAAAAGUGCGGCCUUGCGUCACUCGCUGUACCACUCUGCGGGUCUGCGUCUUAGGAGCAAAAAGCUCUUUUCAUUAGGCGUUGAUUGCGUUGGGGCUUGCUGUUCGCGGCAGCUCCACGGGACGGCAGAUACCUGGUUGAUCCUGCCAGUAGCCAUAUGCUUGUCUCAAAGAUUAAGCCAUGCAUGCCUAAGUGUAAAUAAGCCUACACUGUGAAACUGCGAAUGUCUCAUUAGAUCAGUUAUUGUUAUUUGAUUGUCCCUUACUACAUGGAUAACCGUAGUAAUUCUAGAGCUAAUACAUGCAUCAAGCCCCGACUCACGAAAGGGGUGUAUUUAUUAGAUUCAAAGCCAACCCCUGUCAACAGGUGUCCCUUAUCAGGUCUCCAAGGUUAGAAGCCUCCGGUCGAUAGAACAAUGUAGAUAAGGGAAGUCGGCAAAAUAACUUCGGGAAAAGGAUUGGCUCCUAGGGCUGGGUGUAGGGAGCUCGUGCCUUGCGCUCGGGCUGGAGCUGGGAGCGCUGCGCCUUCGGGUGCGGCGAGCCCGGCACCGGCCUGGGUUAGGGGUGCGAGAGCGUGGCUCUCGGGUCACAUUCCCUGCACAAUGAACAGCUGACUAAGAACUGUAACGGACAAGGGGAAUCCGACUGUUUAAUCAAAACAAAACAUUGUGAUGGCCGGAAAAUGUGAUUUCUGCCCGGUGAAGGAAUUCAACCAAGUGCGGGUAAACGGCGGGAGUAACUACUCUCUUAAGGUAGCCAAAUGCCUCGUCAUCUAAUUAGUGACGCGCAUGAAUGGAUUAACGAGAUUCCCACUGUCCCUAUCUACUAUCUAGAGAAACCACAGCCAAGGGAACGGGCUUGGAAGAUUCAGCGGGGAAAGAAGACCCUAUUGAGCUUGACUCUAGUCCGACAUUGUGAAAUGACUUAAGAGGUGUAAGACCCUAUUGAGCUUGACUCUAGUCCGACAUUGUGAAAUGACUUAAGAGGUGUAGAAUAAGUGGGAGCGAAAGCGACGGUGAAAUACCACUACUUUCAAUGUUAUUUACUUCCGUAGGGUAGAGGCGGGGCCCAAAGCCCCUCCUUCUACCAAACAUAGUGCGAGCGAGCAGUGCAACUAGAGCGAAGGCGCGAAGGACAAACGACAUGUCAAAAGCCAGUGCGAAAGAGCAGUGCCCAAGCCCGUCAAAAAGACAGUACGAAGCAGUGCAAACAGAGCGAGUAACGCAGUGCGUGGCAGAUGCAGCAAGAGGAAGCGUACAACGCGGUCGUAGAGGCCAAGGAGCGGGCGGAGGAGACCCUCCAGCAGGCGACGGCUGCCCUUGCCAUUGCUCACGAGGAGAUCAAAACCAGAGACCUGGCCAAGUGCGUUGU